This is a non-coding RNA of Lactuca sativa (garden lettuce), 637 nucleotides long. The record is from RefSeq and is a predicted model, not a curated record. NCBI's taxonomy places the organism in Eukaryota, Viridiplantae, Streptophyta, Magnoliopsida, Asterales, Asteraceae.
CUCUCUCUCUCUCUCUCUCUCUCUCUCUCUCUCUCUCUCUCUCUCUCUCUCUCUCUCUCUCUCUCUCUCUCUCGUUUCUGCUUACAACCAGCUAAAAAAGAAGAAGUUGGCGGCUGUCACCAGCCUAGGUUGCCCCUCUGUCUCCUUCCGGCCAAGUAACACCACCCCAAACACCCACUUCGAUCCUUACUGCCCUUUGGACCUCGACAGUCGACGACAAGAGAAAGUAGAUCAAGAUCUGAAGUUAGGGUUUAAUGGCAGCUAGGAUUUUCAGAUGAGGCAUUUCGUGACUAGAAAUCGAGGGUGAGACACUUGCGAUGUACUACACGGCGAAGCUAGGGUUUUUUAAACCCACGACGAGACCUUGGGCAAACCGGAUUCACAACGAACACUACCAUUCCAGCUUUGGGUGGUGGUGGUCGAACGGGGGUGGUGGUAGAUGUUCUUGAGUGCUCUUGAGGAGGAAGAAGAAAAUAGGUAAAAAGAUGUGUGUAGGAUGGAUGAAUGUGUAUGUAUGUGUGUGAGAGAGAGAGAGAGAGUAUUUCCUUUUUUUAUUUCUAUAAUUAAAAAAAUAGAAAAAGAAAAUACAAAGGGCAAAAUCGUCCUUUUAUAAAAAAUUAAACCAAAAUGGACCAAA